RNAcentral lists this ribosomal RNA (383 nucleotides) under uncultured archaeon. Its description in RNAcentral is "bacterial SSU rRNA". It matches the Rfam family "Archaeal small subunit ribosomal RNA", at positions 345 to 728 of the family's 1478-position model. The record is from RNAcentral.
AAACUCUACAAUGCAGGCAACUGCGAUAGGGGGACAUCGAGUGGCAUCCACCUUGGGUGCCUGUCCAACCGUCUAAAAAACGGUUGUUAGCAAGGGCCGGGUAAGACCGGUGCCAGCCGCCGCGGUAAUACCGGCGGCUCGAGUGGUGGCCGAUAUUAUUGAGUCUAAAGGGUCCGUAGCCGGCUUUGCAAGUCCCCUGGGAAAUCCAGCGGCUUAACCGUUGGGCUUUCAUGGGAUACUACAUUGCUUGGGACUGGGAGAGGUAGGAGGUACUCGGGGGGUAGGGGUGAAAUCCUGUAAUCCUCCGGGGACCACCGGUGGCGAAGGCGUCCUACCAGAACAGGUCCGACGGUGAGGGACGAAAGCUAGGGGCACGAACCGGA